GCGGUAGGCAUAACACAUGCAAGUCGUGGGAGGACAGUCCUUCGGGGCUGAGCCGACCGGCGAACGGCUGAGUAACACGUUGGUACCUGCCUUGAAGUGAGGGAUAACUCCGAGAAAUCGGAGCUAAUACCGCAUGUGCUCGCAAGAGUAAAGCUUUUUGCGCUUCAAGAGGGGCCUGCGUCGCAUCACGCUAGUUGGUAAGGUAACGGCUUACCAAGGCUAUGACGCGUACCUGGUGUGAGAGCACGACCAGGCAGAAUGGGACUGAGACACGGCCCAUACUCCUACGGGAGGCAGCAGUGAGGAAUCUUCCGCAAUGGGCGCAAGCCUGACGGAGCCAUACCGCGUGCGGGAUGACACCUUUCGGGGCGUAAACCGCUUUUCUGGAGGAAGAAGUUCUGACAGUACUCCAGGAAUAAGUCUUGACUAACUACGUGCCAGCAGACGCGGUAAUACGUAGAAGACAAGCGUUAUCCGGAAUUAUUGGGCGUAAAGCGAUCGAAGGCGGUUAGAUAAGUUAGAUAUUAAAUACCUAUUGCUCAACAAAGGUGCCGUAUCUAAAACUAUCUAACUAGAGAAAGACAGAGGCAGAUGGAAUUCCUAUUGUAGGGGUUAAAUCCGUAGAUAAUAGGAGGAACACCAAAAGCGAAGGCAAUCUGCUGGGUCUUUUCUGACGCUGUGCGAUCGAAAGCGUGGGGAGCGAAAAGGAUUAGAUACCCUUGUAGUCCACGCCCUAAACGAUGAAUGCUCGAUGUUGGUUGGUUCUAAUCCCAAUCAGUGUCCAAGCUAACGCGUUAAGCAUUCCGCCUGAAGACUACGAUCGCAAGAUUAAAACUUAAAGGAAUAGACGGGGAUCCACACAAGCGGUGGAGCGUCUGGUUUAAUUCGACAAUAAGCGGGGAACCUUACCAGGACUUGACAUCCUUGGAACUUCUUAGAAAUAAGAAGGUGCUUUUUAAGAACCAAGUGACAGGUGUUGCAUGGUCGUCGUCAGCUCGUGCCUUGAGGCGUUCGGUUAAGUCCGUUAACGAGCGUAACCCUUAUCGUAUGUUGUAUAUUUCAUGCGAGACUGCCUCGUUCAACGAGGAGGAAGGUGAGGAUGAUGUCAGAUCAGCAUGACCCUUAUGUCCUGGGCGACACAGGCGCUACAAUGAUCGGUACAAAGGGUAGCCAAGCAGUAAUGUGGAGCCAAUCCCAAAAAACCGGUCUUAAGUUCGGAUUGAGGUCUGCAACCCGACCUCAUGAAGUUGGAAUCGCUAGUAACCGUGAAUCAGCCACGUCACGGUGAAUAUGUUCCUGGAUCUUGUACUCACCGCCCGUCAAGUCAUGAAAGAUAGAGGCACCC
RNAcentral lists this ribosomal RNA (1345 nucleotides) under uncultured organism. RNAcentral's name for it is "bacterial SSU rRNA". It matches the Rfam family "Bacterial small subunit ribosomal RNA". The record is from RNAcentral.